Molecule: ribosomal RNA, 622 nt
Filed under: Escherichia coli
Lineage: Bacteria; Pseudomonadati; Pseudomonadota; Gammaproteobacteria; Enterobacterales; Enterobacteriaceae
Description: partial 23S ribosomal RNA
Rfam family: Bacterial large subunit ribosomal RNA
Source: RNAcentral
UGUGAGGCAUGCUGGAGGUAUCAGAAGUGCGAAUGCUGACAUAAGUAACGAUAAAGCGGGUGAAAAGCCCGCUCGCCGGAAGACCAAGGGUUCCUGUCCAACGUUAAUCGGGGCAGGGUGAGUCGACCCCUAAGGCGAGGCCGAAAGGCGUAGUCGAUGGGAAACAGGUUAAUAUUCCUGUACUUGGUGUUACUGCGAAGGGGGGACGGAGAAGGCUAUGUUGGCCGGGCGACGGUUGUCCCGGUUUAAGCGUGUAGGCUGGUUUUCCAGGCAAAUCCGGAAAAUCAAGGCUGAGGCGUGAUGACGAGGCACUGCGGUGCUGAAGCAACAAAUGCCCUGCUUCCAGGAAAAGCCUCUAAGCAUCAGGUAACAUCAAAUCGUACCCCAAACCGACACAGGUGGUCAGGUAGAGAAUACCAAGGCGCUUGAGAGAACUCGGGUGAAGGAACUAGGCAAAAUGGUGCCGUAACUUCGGGAGAAGGCACGCUGAUAUGUAGGUGAAGUCCCUCGCGGAUGGAGCUGAAAUCAGUCGAAGAUACCAGCUGGCUGCAACUGUUUAUUAAAAACACAGCACUGUGCAAACACGAAAGUGGACGUAUACGGUGUGACGCCUGCCCGGUGC